This 2696-nucleotide long non-coding RNA is filed under the name Cinara cedri. The record is from RNAcentral. Lineage: Eukaryota; Metazoa; Arthropoda; Insecta; Hemiptera; Aphididae.
UUUUUUUUUUUUUUUUUUUUUUUUUUUUUGAUUUUUAUCGGAAUAAUAUUUAUUAUAAUCUUCCAGAAAAUGUUGAGUUUGCGUUAUAUAUAUUUUUAUACAAAUAAAAAAAUACAUACAAUUUACACGUAUACAUAGUACACACGAAAAGUAUAUUACAUUUUUAGCUAAGCUUUUGGUAGGAUUUUUUUUUGUUUUUAAACAAUAUACGACUACUGCUUUUAACCGAAAAAUAAAAUCCAUAUUAUCAUUAUAUCAGACUAUAUUUAAAAUUUUAUUUUUUUUACUCGCGAGUUUUGGAAAUAUUAAUGCUCUACCCCCCCAUCAUUUCGGGGUAACACAUUAUUUUAUGGAUGCUAAUAUCAUAAUGAUUAUUUGUUUUUUUUUUUUUUAUUAGACUUCAAUUUAUUAGCAUAUAUAUAUAUGUGUGUGUGUGUGUGUGUGUGUGUGUAUAUUAUUAUAUAAAACUACCUCUACAUUCGAAUUGAGUUUUUUUUUCUAUUUAAGUGCACAGUUUAAAUAUUACCUUGUAUAUUAAUAUUUUUCUUUAUUAUGGUUUUAUGUAAACAUAAUUAGAUACACAUUGUCAAUAACCCCCUCCCUAAAAAAAAAUCAUGACAAACUUGUUCCCAAUCUUUGAAAUAUAUUCUAUUAUCCUGAUCAUAAAACAAUUUUCGAUUUCAUAUCGGCUAUGUAUUGUGUGCAAAACAAAAGAAUUGUCAGUUUUUAACUGAAACAACAUUCCGAGAGGAAUAAUAUCGACAGCAAUAAGGACAUUUUUUUUUUUAUAGCAAUUUAUAAAUAUAUAUAUAUGCAUAAUAUUAUUAUGCUAAUGUUGUCAUUUUUUUAUAUUAUCUUAAGAAAAGUCUAUAAACAAAGCAGCAGCGCUCGGUGCUUUUUUAAAUUUUGAUUUUUUUUUUUUUUUAAGUUUGAUCUGGUAGUUAGGUGGUAUUGUGCAAUAUAAUUCCAAAAAUUACAUUUUUAAAAUAUGCUCUAUUUGUUUUGUUUUGUUUUAUUUAUUUAUUUAUUUUUUUUUUUUUUUUGCCAAAAAAAUAUUUUUAUAUUAUUUCGUUAUAUUUAUAUAUUAUUGCGGUUUAUUGAAAAUUACUAAAUAAAUACAAUCAAUCAAGAAUUACAAAAAAUAAUGAUCGACUGAAGAGAGGUUGACAAUUUAUUAUUAUUAUUAUUAUUAUUAUUAUCAUUAUUAUUAUUAUUAUUAUUAUUAUUAUUAUUAUUAUUAUAUAUAUUUUUUUUUAAACUCCAAAUAAGGCCAGUAAGUUAUUGAGACUGAAUACUAUAAUGAAUAUAGAAAAAAAAAAGUAGGAUAACUUCUCAAUAUUCUGGAAAACAAUUUUUUCCCCUCCCCUAAACAUUGUACAAUAAUGGAAACUUUGUUUCCAUUUCAACCUUUUUUGUUACAAUCAUAUUUUACUUCAGUUAUAAUAUUAUACUUUUAAACGUUUAGGAGUUAUAUAUAUAUAAUUAUUAUUUUAAACAUAUAAUAUAGAAUAAAUAUAUAUAUUUUUGUAAAUUUGUAUAGAAUUUAUUAACAAAUAUUUGAUUAAAUAUUAUUAUAAAUAUAUAUAUAUCAUACAAAUUUAUUAUAAACAUUAUUUAUUUUUGUUAAAAUUUAUAAUAUAGGGGGUACACACUGUAGGUAAUUAGUUUUUUUUUUUAUUAUUAUUAUUAUUAAUUAUUAAUUUUAUUAAACCGUGCAAUUCAUUCACUAUAUAAUAAUAUAUAUAUAUAUAUAUAUAUAUAUAUAUAUUUAUAUAUUAAUAUUAUUAUGUUUUAACAUUUGUUUAUUUAAUAAUAAUAAACACAACUAAUAAAUUGAUUUAACCACAGAAUUUAGUAGGUUAUUUUAAAAGAAAAUUUUCGUUAUUUUACCAUUUUGAAAAACAAAUAUAAAUGUAUUAUACUUUUUUCUUCAUAGAUUAUUAUUUUAAUGAAAUGUUUACACACAAUGACAUUGUAUUAUAGUAUUCAAUUUGUUAAUAAUAUUAUUUAAUUAACCACUGUUAGCUCCGUAGUUAUUAAUAAUUACUAUUGUAUAAUUUACAAGUUUUAUUUUUAGUUCUUAAAUAUUUAAACAUACAAAUUUUUCUCAAAACAAAAAUUUUUUGUUAUGUUGACGUUUCCAUUAUUUACAUAUUUUAAUUUAAAUAAUUUCUACAAUACUAUAAUUAAUUUUUUUCUUCGAAAUUUAAAUAAUUUAUGUUAACAUUUUGUUGUUGCUUUAUUUUAUAUAUUAUAUAUAUAAACAUUGUGAAUUUUUUUUUUUUCUAUUAGUCGUUUUGUUAUGUUUUCCUAAGUAAUAACACUUUUUUUUUUUUUUUAAUUUUCAUUCCUAAAUCAUGUUUUUUUUGUCUAAAGUCACUAAAAAGUUAUGAUUUUUUUUUUUAUAUAUAGAGGUGAGUGGGAUAGACAAAUAUUUUAACAAUAUUACGUCGGUAAAAAAUAGCACACAUCUUGUAAAAUGGUUAGCUAAUUUAAAAUUUAAAAAAAAUUAUUAAUUUAUGUAAUAACUGAAAUGUUAAUUUUAAUUCAAUAAGCAAUAAAUUAACGUUAUUUGAAAAUAACUAAUAUUUUUAAUUUAUAGACACGCCAGUUCUGUUCUUUUUCCUACAAGCCACAAAACUACAAUAUGUGUACAUUGCACAUUUAUAUCAUAUUAAUUAUGUAUAGAUUACAAC